UCAUCGGCCUCAGAUUGGUAG
RNAcentral lists this ribosomal RNA (21 nucleotides) under Macalpinomyces thuemenii. RNAcentral's name for it is "partial 28S ribosomal RNA". Lineage: Eukaryota; Fungi; Basidiomycota; Ustilaginomycetes; Ustilaginales; Ustilaginaceae. The record is from RNAcentral.